Molecule: ribosomal RNA, 460 nt
Filed under: uncultured bacterium
Lineage: Bacteria
Description: partial 16S ribosomal RNA
Rfam family: Bacterial small subunit ribosomal RNA
Source: RNAcentral
CCUACGGGUGGCAGCAGUGAGGAAUAUUGGUCAAUGGACGAGAGUCUGAACCAGCCAAGUAGCGUGAAGGAUGACUGCCCUAUGGGUUGUAAACUUCUUUUAUAUGGGAAUAAAAUGUUCCACGUGUGGGAUUUUGUAUGUACCAUAUGAAUAAGGAUCGGCUAACUCCGUGCCAGCAGCCGCGGUAAUACGGAGGAUCCGAGCGUUAUCCGGAUUUAUUGGGUUUAAGGGGAGCGUAGGUAGAUUGUUAAGUCAGUUGUGAAAGUUUGCGGCGCAACCGUAAAAUUGCAGUUGAAACUGGCAGUCUUGAGUACAGUAGAGGUGGGCGGAAUUCGUGGUGUAGCGGUGAAAUGCUUAGAUAUCACGAAGAACUCCGAUUGCGAAGGCAGUUCACUGGACUGCAACUGACACUGAGGCUCGAAAGUGUGGGUAUCAAACAGGAUUAGAUACCCUUGUAGUC